This 779-nucleotide ribosomal RNA is filed under the name uncultured marine eukaryote. RNAcentral describes it as "SSU rRNA". It matches the Rfam family "Eukaryotic small subunit ribosomal RNA", at positions 64 to 870 of the family's 1831-position model. The record is from RNAcentral.
UAUAAAUGGUAUACAAUGAAACUGCGAAUGGCUCAUUAAAACAGUUAUAGUUUAUUUGGUAAUCAAACUUACAUGGAUAACCGUGGUAAUUCUAGAGCUAAUACAUGCUGUUGUGCCCGACUCACGAAGGGCCGUAUUUAUUAGAUAUCAGCCAAUAAGCAUCUGCUAUUGUGGUGACUCAUAGUAACUUNAUCGGAUCGCAUGGGCUUGUCCCGCGACAAACCAUUCAAGUUUCUGCCCCAUCAUGCUUUCGAUGGUAGUGUAUUGGACUACCAUGGCUUUCACGGGUAACGGAGGAUUAGGGUUCGAUUCCGGAGAGGGAGCCUGAGAAACGGCUACCACUUCCACGGAAGGCAGCAGGCGCGUAAAUUACCCAAUCCUGAUUCAGGGAGGUAGUGACAAGAAAUAAUGGGUCGGGGUUCUGCCCCGGGACUGCAAUGAGACGAAUUUAGACCCCUUAUCGAGGACCAAUUGGAGGGCAAGCCUGGUGCCAGCAGCCGCGGUAAUUCCAGCUCCAAUAGCGUAUAUUAAAGUUGUUGCAGUUAAAAAGCUCGUAGUUGGAUUUCUGGUAGUGGGCAAGAGCUCUCUGAUGAUGCUCGCGUUCAUUGCCAUCCUUCUGUUAACCUAUCAGGGCAUUCUUUUGUCAGUUAGGGUCUCAGAUAUUUUACCUAGAGAAAAAUAGAGUGUUUCAGGCAGGCAUGUUCCCGAAUUCUUUAGCAUGGUAUAAUGGAUUAGGUUUUUUUCCUAAUCUGUAGGUAUGAGGGGUUUAAGUAAUGAUU